RNAcentral lists this ribosomal RNA (1352 nucleotides) under uncultured bacterium. RNAcentral's name for it is "partial 16S rRNA". It matches the Rfam family "Bacterial small subunit ribosomal RNA", at positions 8 to 1343 of the family's 1533-position model. The record is from RNAcentral.
AGAGUUUGAUCCUGGCUCAGGACGAACGCUGGCGGCGUGCCUAAUACAUGCAAGUCGAGCGAAUCUUCAGGAGCUUGCUCCUGAAGAUUAGCGGCGGACGGGUGAGUAACACGUGGGCAACCUGCCUGUAAGACUGGGAUAACUUCGGGAAACCGGAGCUAAUACCGGAUAAUCCUUUUCCUCUCAUGAGGAAAAGCUGAAAGAUGGCGCAAGCUAUCACUUACAGAUGGGCCCGCGGCGCAUUAGCUAGUUGGUGAGGUAAUGGCUCACCAAGGCGACGAUGCGUAGCCGACCUGAGAGGGUGAUCGGCCACACUGGGACUGAGACACGGCCCAGACUCCUACGGGAGGCAGCAGUAGGGAAUCUUCCGCAAUGGACGAAAGUCUGACGGAGCAACGCCGCGUGAACGAUGAAGGCUUUCGGGUCGUAAAGUUCUGUUGUUAGGGAAGAACAAGUACUGGAGUAACUGCCGGUACCUUGACGGUACCUAACCAGAAAGCCACGGCUAACUACGUGCCAGCAGCCGCGGUAAUACGUAGGUGGCAAGCGUUGUCCGGAAUUAUUGGGCGUAAAGCGCGCGCAGGCGGUUCCUUAAGUCUGAUGUGAAAGCCCCCGGCUCAACCGGGGAGGGUCAUUGGAAACUGGGGAACUUGAGUACAGAAGAGGAAAGCGGAAUUCCACGUGUAGCGGUGAAAUGCGUAGAGAUGUGGAGGAACACCAGUGGCGAAGGCGGCUUUCUGGUCUGUAACUGACGCUGAGGCGCGAAAGCGUGGGGAGCAAACAGGAUUAGAUACCCUGGGUAUCCCCUGCCGAAACGAUGAGUGCUAGGGGUGGAGGAUUUUCCCCCUUUUCCGCUGCGUAAAUCACAUUAUACACGCCCCCUGUGGAGAACAGUCGCGAGACUGAAACUCUCAGGAAUUGACGGGGGCCCCCGCAAGCGGUGGAGAAUGUGGUUAUUUUCUCAAUGCCGCGAAAAAACUUAUAAGGUCUUGACAUCCUCUGACAACCCACCUGAUAACACGUGCUCCUUCUGCGGACAGAUUGACAGUGUGUGCAUGGGUGUGUCGUCCUCUCGUGUCGAGAUAUGUUGGGUUAAGUCCCGCAACGAGCGCACCCUCUUGAUCUGUUGUGACAGCAUUCUGUUGGGCACUCUUAGGUGACUGCCGGUGACAACUCGGAGGAAGGUGGGGACGACGUCAAAUCAUCAUGCCCCUUAUGACCUGGGCUACACACGUGCUACAAUGGACGGUACAAAGGGCUGCAAUACCGCGAGGUGAAGCUAAUCCCAUAAAACCGGUCUCAGUUCGGAUUGCGGCUGCAACUCGCCGCAUGAAGUGGAAUCGCUAGUAAUC